CAAUUCAAGAUGAGAUUUGGGUGGAGACACAGCCAAACCAUAUCAUUGACUGACUUAAAUUCAACAGAACUGUGCUUUGGAGGACAUCGUUGCGCUGCUGACUUCUAACACUGAGAGAGAAGGGAGAUUGUGAAAGGUACAAGAGGCAGGGGAGCAGCCCACUGAGCUACCCCAGGAAUUUCCCUGACAAUCAGUUUUAAGGAGGACAUGCAGAAGUUGAAGAUGUGGAACACACAUCCCAUCUAAGGGGUGACAUCCUUCAGUUUGUGGACAGCUGGUCUAAUUCACUGGAGGAGGAACACAGCUCCCCUGGGGCCAUGCUCUGGCCACAGAACAGUGUGCAAGAGGUCAUUUAUGUUCAGGUGAUCCUGCCUUAUCCUGGAGAAAGAAAUGUUAUGCAAGAGGCCAAGAAGAAGCUAAACAAACAAGCCAUGAUGGAUUCCCAUCUCAGCUUAUUACCAUUGGGACAUGUCCUUUUUGUCCAAUCACAUUUCUACAUGGCAGUACAGUCUUCAUCAAACCUAAGCAUUAAAAAAAAAGUUUUCUCUGGGUCUUUGGGUCUUUUGUUUCGGAAGGCUCCUGUAUUACAUAAAACUUUGUUAAAU
This 605-nucleotide long non-coding RNA is filed under the name Homo sapiens (human). RNAcentral describes it as "HSALNT0373313". The record is from RNAcentral. Lineage: Eukaryota; Metazoa; Chordata; Mammalia; Primates; Hominidae.